UGGGGAAUUUUGGACAAUGGACGCAAGUCUGAUCCAGCCAUGCCGCGUGCGGGAAGAAGGCCUUCGGGUUGUAAACCGCUUUUGUCAGGGAAGAAACGAGUUUCUCUAAUACAGAGACUUAAUGACGGUACCUGAAGAAUAAGCACCGGCUAACUACGUGCCAGCAGCCGCGGUAAUACGUAGGGUGCAAGCGUUAAUCGGAAUUACUGGGCGUAAAGCGUGCGCAGGCGGUUAUAUAAGACAGAUGUGAAAUCCCCGGGCUCAACCUGGGAACUGCAUCUGUGACUGUAUAGCUAGAGUACGGCAGAGGGGGAUGGAAUUCCGCGUGUAGCAGUGAAAUGCGUAGAUAUGCGGAGGAACACCGAUGGCGAAGGCAAUCCCCUGGGCCUGUACUGACGCUCAUGCACGAAAGCGUGGGGAGCAAACA
This 427-nucleotide ribosomal RNA is filed under the name uncultured bacterium. Its description in RNAcentral is "bacterial SSU rRNA". It matches the Rfam family "Bacterial small subunit ribosomal RNA", at positions 355 to 774 of the family's 1533-position model. The record is from RNAcentral.